Molecule: ribosomal RNA, 990 nt
Filed under: metagenome
Also listed under: 2 other names
Description: bacterial LSU rRNA
Rfam family: Bacterial large subunit ribosomal RNA
Source: RNAcentral
CCGUAACUAUAACGGUCCUAAGGUAGCGAAAUUCCUUGUCGGGUAAGUUCCGACCCGCACGAAAGGUGUAACGAUUUGGGCACUGUCUCAACGAGGGACCCGGUGAAAUUGAAAUACCUGUGAAGAUGCAGGUUACCCGCGACUGGACAGAAAGACCCCAUGGAGCUUUACUGUAACCUGACAUUGGGUUUUGAUACAUUACGUACAGGAUAGGUGGGAGGCAUGGAAAGCUGGACGCUAGUCUGGCUGGAGCCGACGUUGGGAUACCACCCUUGAUGUAUUGAAAUUCUAACCGCGAGAGUAACGAAAUCCGGGACAGUGUCAGGCGGGCAGUUUGACUGGGGCGGUCGCCUCCGAAAGAGUAACGGAGGCGCCCAAAGGUUCCCUCAGCGCGGCCGGAAAUCGCGCGAAGAGUGUAAAGGCAGAAGGGAGCUUGACUGCGAGUCAAACACGACGAGCAGGUACGAAAGUAGGGCUUAGUGAUCCGGUGGUACCGAGUGGAAGGGCCAUCGCUCAACGGAUAAAAGCUACCCUGGGGAUAACAGGCUAAUCUCUCCCAAGAGUCCAUAUCGACGGGGAGGUUUGGCACCUCGAUGUCGGCUCAUCACAUCCUGGGGCUGAAGUCGGUCCCAAGGGUUGGGCUGUUCGCCCAUUAAAGUGGUACGUGAGCUGGGUUCAGAACGUCGUGAGACAGUUCGGUCCCUAUCCAUCGCGGGCGCAAGAGAUUUGAAGGGGGCUGCUCCUAGUACGAGAGGACCGGAGUGGACGAACCGCUGGUGUACCAAUUAUCCCGCCAGGGGUACAGUUGGGUAGCUACGUUCGGAAAGGAUAAACGCUGAAAGCAUCUAAGCGUGAAACCAGCCUUAAGAUGAGAUCUCUCAUAGAGCAAUCUAGUAAGACACCUUAAAGAAGAUGAGGUUGAUAGGUCGGGAGUGUAAGUACAGCAAUGUAUUGAGCGGACCGAUACUAAUAUGUCGAGGGCUUGACUUA